This 62-nucleotide transfer RNA is filed under the name Colasposoma sp. EMHAU-15070314. Its description in RNAcentral is "tRNA-Trp". The record is from RNAcentral. Lineage: Eukaryota; Metazoa; Arthropoda; Insecta; Coleoptera; Chrysomelidae.
AAGGAUUUAAGUUAAAUAAACUAUUAACCUUCAAAGUUGAAAAUAGAAUGUUCUAAGCCUUA